UUGAUCCUGGCUCAGGAUGAACGCUAGCUACAGGCUUAACACAUGCAAGUCGAGGGGCAGCAUGGUCUUAGCUUGCUAAGGCCGAUGGCGACCGGCGCACGGGUGAGUAACACGUAUCCAACCUGCCGUCUACUCUUGGACAGCCUUCUGAAAGGAAGAUUAAUACAAGAUGGCAUCAUGAGUCCGCAUGUUCACAUGAUUAAAGGUAUUCCGGUAGACGAUGGGGAUGCGUUCCAUUAGAUAGUAGGCGGGGUAACGGCCCACCUAGUCUUCGAUGGAUAGGGGUUCUGAGAGGAAGGUCCCCCACAUUGGAACUGAGACACGGUCCAAACUCCUACGGGAGGCAGCAGUGAGGAAUAUUGGUCAAUGGGCGAGAGCCUGAACCAGCCAAGUAGCGUGAAGGAUGACUGCCCUAUGGGUUGUAAACUUCUUUUAUAAAGGAAUAAAGUCGGGUAUGGAUACCCGUUUGCAUGUACUUUAUGAAUAAGGAUCGGCUAACUCCGUGCCAGCAGCCGCGGUAAUACGGAGGAUCCGAGCGUUAUCCGGAUUUAUUGGGUUUAAAGGGAGCGUAGAUGGAUGUUUAAGUCAGUUGUGAAAGUUUGCGGCUCAACCGUAAAAUUGCAGUUGAUACUGGAUAUCUUGAGUGCAGUUGAGGCAGGCGGAAUUCGUGGUGUAGCGGUGAAAUGCUUAGAUAUCACGAAGAACUCCGAUUGCGAAGGCAGCCUGCUAAGCUGCAACUGACAUUGAGGCUCGAAAGUGUGGGUAUCAAACAGGAUUAGAUACCCUGGUAGUCCACACGGUAAACGAUGAAUACUCGCUGUUUGCGAUAUACAGCAAGCGGCCAAGCGAAAGCGUUAAGUAUUCCACCUGGGGAGUACGCCGGCAACGGUGAAACUCAAAGGAAUUGACGGGGGCCCGCACAAGCGGAGGAACAUGUGGUUUAAUUCGAUGAUACGCGAGGAACCUUACCCGGGCUUAAAUUGCAGAUGAAUUACGGUGAAAGCCGUAAGCCGCAAGGCAUCUGUGAAGGUGCUGCAUGGUUGUCGUCAGCUCGUGCCGUGAGGUGUCGGCUUAAGUGCCAUAACGAGCGCAACCCUUGUUGUCAGUUACUAACAGGUUCCGCUGAGGACUCUGACAAGACUGCCAUCGUAAGAUGUGAGGAAGGUGGGGAUGACGUCAAAUCAGCACGGCCCUUACGUCCGGGGCUACACACGUGUUACAAUGGGGGGUACAGAGGGCCGCUACCACGCGAGUGGAUGCCAAUCCCAAAAACCUCUCUCAGUUCGGACUGGAGUCUGCAACCCGACUCCACGAAGCUGGAUUCGCUAGUAAUCGCGCAUCAGCCACGGCGCGGUGAAUACGUUCCCGGGCCUUGUACACACCGCCCGUCAAGCCAUGGGAGCCGGGGGUACCUGAAGUGCGUAACCGCGAGGAGCGCCCUAGGGUAAAACUGGUGACUGGGGCUAAGUCGUAACAAGGU
Molecule: ribosomal RNA, 1480 nt
Filed under: uncultured bacterium
Lineage: Bacteria
Description: bacterial SSU rRNA
Rfam family: Bacterial small subunit ribosomal RNA
Source: RNAcentral